AAAAAAGUCUGCUACUCUUCUUGCUUAGUCUAGAACAGGACAGAGGGUUUCCUACCAGAGCACGGGUUCCUAGGAGACUGGAAAAAUGGAUCCGCAAGUUUCCGUCAACCGUCUGGAGAUUUUGAAACUUUUACUUGUCAUUAACGUAACUUUAAGGAGUUCUGCGUGGUUUUUGCAAAGCAUUGUGCCCCGUAGACAAAAAUGGCAAGAUGGUUUGAAUGACCCAUCAGAAAGAGGGUUGCAUGGUUGAAUGACCCAUCAGAAAGAGGGUUGUAUGGUUGAAGGACCCAAGCAUUGUGUCCCGUAGUCGAAAGUGGGAAAUGUGUAAAUCAGAAAAGGGUCUUGAAAGAUGGUCGUACGGUCGAAUGGCUCAUUAGAUGUUUGAUGGGUGCGUAAAUGAGAAAAAGCAUUAUGUCCCGUAGUCAUAAGUGGGAGAUGUGUAAAUAAGAAAGGCUCUUGAACGAUAGUUGUAUGGUUGAAUGACUCAUUAGGUGUUUUGGCCGGGGGGGGGGGGGGGGGUGAAUGAGAAAAAGCUUCGGAUUUGGCUAUUUAAACCCGAUUAAAAAAAUGGUUGUACGGUUGAAUGACCCAUCCGGUGUUUGAUGGACUAGUGAAGAACCGACUUGUUAUCCUUCCACCGACAGGAGAGGGAAGUGUUCGCUGCUCUGUGAAGCCAGCCUAGCGCAGUGCCCUCCACUUUAGGGGAUAUGAACUCCUGGCUUUCGCCGAAAGCCCAUGACCCUGCUCCCUACUUGGAAUGGGCAGGCCAGUGUAUAACCCCAUGCUAGCCCAACCUUCUGGCCCAAUCCAACCUCCAACCAUCUUAUAGCUCCCACUCGGGUUACAGGCCUGCGCUACCAGACCCAGCUGAAAGUGUGACCAUCUCCCUGGGUUUCUAAACAAACACUGGCUCCAUUCUGUGGACAAUGUGCUACUCACAUUGUAACUCCGAGGUACUUAAGGCUUGUGACUAACAAUGUCAGCCUUAUUCUGGACGAUAGAGAGAAAUAACGAAUACAUACUUUAAAGCAUCGGGAAAAAAAAAUACUGUCCAGGGAUUUAAUUCAACUUUCUGUGUGAAGCAGAUGAUUUGUAAAAGGAUACUCACAAUGUAACUCUGAGGUAUGCACGGCUUGUGGCUUAACAAUGUCAGCCUUGUUCUGGAUGAUAGAGAGAAAUAACGAAUUCAUAAUUCAAAGCAUCCGGAAAACAUUUCUCUCCGGAUUUAAUUCAACUGUCCGUGUGAAGCAGUGUAUUCAGUGAUUGUCGAAGCCUUGGCCUCUGUGCUGAAGCAUAUUUUGAUCUCACCGGACGUCCUCGUGCUCUCAAUGCUCAGUGAAAUACUCAUUUUCGGCCUUCUAGCUAUUGAAAGGUGAGCCGAAGACCAACAGAAUAGACAAAGGAAUGUGGACCUGCCUGUUCCGGGAAGCAUGUAUUAUGACUACUCUCAUAUUGCUGGUUGCUUGGUCAAGGGAAGCAUGAGAAGGUGUUGUACAUGUUAGGUGACAUUACGUCUGGUCCUGGGUAUAGGUUCACUCAAUGGCUGGAACUGGUUCGAAAACGCAGCAGCCAGUACCAGAAUCCGGCAUCCGGCCUUCUCCAACCACCCUCGUCGAAUCAGUAGCAUGCCCUUCUUAAGGACCCUGCACAUGGAACAACGACGAUGAUUGCCAAGUUUCUCUUUAUAAGAUCGGAUAUUUGAUCAAUAUCUGAUUAGCUCCAUUCGGCAAUGCCAUAUAGCAUGGCUUGAGUUUGUAUCAGACAGCAGAAGGCACUCAUCUUUCAUUGUGCUUAGCUGCCCGUCUGUGACUGGAGCAAGAAAAAUCUUCUGUCCUCGUAUCAAAUUCCUUCUCUGCCAUGCUGGCGGGAGCAAGAUGAAACUUUAAGAUUGUCGGGGUCUGAAAUUAUUUAACAAAAUAUAUUUGAUGAGUUGAUUUGGUGGGGUGUGCCAGGCCCGAGCAAUAGUGCAACGCUUGGGCGACACGUGAAGACCCCAAUAGCAAGCUAUUGUGACGGGCCUCCCCCCUUAAAAAAUAAAUUUAAUAUCGUGUGGACCUAUGGCCCACAUAUCAGAUAUUAAACUGAUAAGAACAGAUACUACACUUGAUCUUAGCCAAAAGGCCGAGAAAGGUAUGAGUGUUUUCUCGCACAUGAUAUUGCUUUUAAAGCUCAGCUAUUGUAGCUGUGUCAUAUUUAAUUCGAUGUGGUACUUGACUUUUCAUGAAUGUCUACAUUCACAGCUUGUCAGCCAUAGUUCUUGAGUGAGAACUACAGAUAUUAGAUGGAGCUAGCGGUGGAAACAGUUGGUUGACUUUGGAUGAAAUGAGAGAAUGCUGAUAUGGUAACCCAACGGAAUACUCUAAUACCCAGAUGAGUGUUUAUUAUUGAAAGAGAAACCUGUGGAAGAACUUGAUUAAAACUGAAACAUGAAUGUUAGUUGUACAGCUACCAUUAACAAUUCAUGUUGAUGUUGAUGUUGUCAGUAGAUUUAUAUUUGGGUCAGGUGCUUCAAGGACAAGUAAGUCGCAUCUGGGGAGGACAACCUUUACCUAAUUAUAUUAUAUCCAAUAAAAGGGCACAACUGUUAAACACUAGAAUUGCAGGGGCUGCGCGAACGCAGGCCCCCCUGUCACAAAUUAUGAUGUAGGCUCCACCACUUGGGUAGACCUUAGGCAAGCACCCCUCCGAUGUGCAAUGGAGGCCACUGACCCAGGCCAUGGGCCUUCAUGAUCACCCAUCGACCCCAUCCAGGUGUUGUACAUGUUAGGUGACAUCACGUCAGGUCCUGGGUAUAGGUUCACUCAAAUGGCUGGAGCUGGUUCAAAAACACAGCAGCCAGUACCAGAAUCCGGCAUCCGGCCUUCCCUAAGCACCCUCGUUGAAUCAGUAGCAUGCCCUUCUUAAGUGUAUCUGCUAGUAUGUGUACUCUGACAACAAAAAAGAAUGGUAUUUACUUGCAAGAGAUUCAGAAGGUGCUCUCUUUGAAGCUAAAGCAUUGGUCCACCAUGAGCUUGUUACUCCAGUUUUAGCAGAAGCAAUGGCAGUAAAGAAGGUGUUGAACUGGAUUUAUGAAAUGCAUUGGCCCAUGGUUACGUUGGAGUCUGAUUGUCUUGCCGUGGUUUAAGAUGGUUACGUUGGAGUCUGAUUGUCUUACCGUGGUUCAAGCAAUCAGGAGCAAAGCUCCAAUGAGGUCUCGGUUUGGUGUGUAUUUUUAAGUGUCAAACACAUCUUCUGAAUAACGUUAAGUUGUUAUUUGUUAAACCAUUUGCAGAUGGUUUCCCAUUAGCUUGCUUGCUAGGAAUCAUAUUUUUUUCUAGGUUGUAGGUUUGACAGGUGGUCUAUUUCUGUCAGCGUUAAAGAUUGUAUUGAGAUGUUUUAUUAAGUUAAUAAAUUCCCCUGCUUUUCGUAAAA
Molecule: long non-coding RNA, 3411 nt
Organism: Daucus carota subsp. sativus
Lineage: Eukaryota; Viridiplantae; Streptophyta; Magnoliopsida; Apiales; Apiaceae
Exons: 9
Source: RefSeq, a predicted model, not a curated record